CUCUUAAAUAAUUCAGAAUACUCGAACAACAACUAUUCAGCCACCCCAGCGAAGGACGAGCGAAAGGCCGAUAUAACGCAUCUUUAUUAUAUCGGAUUUCCAAAUAUUAACACUCUACUCAUCAAAACAUACAUUUUUGUACAAAAGGUUAAAAACAAAACCAUUAUAUACCAACUUUCCAAAAUACUAUGUCACUAGCAAACUACGAAAACAAUGCACAUAACUUGAAUUGGUGUUUAAAGGGAUUUUUGCUGCAAUAUUUUUGUUUUAAGGCUAAGUGCUACUCUGUAAUUGUAUACAUAAUACAUGGCUUUCAAAUAUGAUAUCUACUUAAAAAUAUAAAAUGACGGAAAACUUAUUGACACAAAAACCGCUAAUAUAUAUUCUUUGGGAAUCGAAUUUGAUUCAGAGUUUAAAGAAAACGAUGCACCCUAAAGCCAUUCAUCAUUAUCGUCUUAUGGGACAACAAUUAAAAUCUUAUUUUUACUUGGUAACUUGCCAGACACGAAUGAGAUUAUCAGUCCAGCCAGAGAACAAAGUUUGGCCAUCAGGAGACCAGGUAAGAGAAAUACACUCAGGCUCAGAGCUCUUCUUGCCAACACCAACAAAGUCAACAGUAAGUUCAUCAACCUUCUCUUGAGUCUCCAAAUCGAAGAUACGAAUGGAAGAACCAGUGGCGGCACAAAGCCAGUAACGGUUAGGGGAGAAAACAAGGGCAUUAAUGUUAGCCUUGGCUUCCAAAGAGUAGAGGUGGGUAGACUCGUUAAGAUCCCAAAGCAUCAAGGUACCGUCUCUUCCACCGGAAGCACAAAGAGAUCCAUCAGGGGAGAUGGUGACUGCAGAUACGUAACCAGUAUGGCCAUAGUGAGAAGUGCGAAGGGAGAAGGUUUCCAAAUCCCAAACCUUUGAAGAGAGUUAGCAUUAAUUAAUUAGAAUGAAUAAAU
This is a non-coding RNA of Schizosaccharomyces pombe (fission yeast), 944 nucleotides long. The record is from the annotation of a GenBank genome assembly. NCBI's taxonomy places the organism in Eukaryota, Fungi, Ascomycota, Schizosaccharomycetes, Schizosaccharomycetales, Schizosaccharomycetaceae.